GGAGCUUAUACCUCCGUAGAGCACUCGCCAGAUAAGCGAGGGUAAUGUGGGUUCGAUUCCCACUGUCACUACCA
Molecule: transfer RNA, 74 nt
Filed under: Sulfurovum sp.
Lineage: Bacteria; Pseudomonadati; Campylobacterota; Epsilonproteobacteria; Campylobacterales; Sulfurovaceae
Description: tRNA-Ile
Source: RNAcentral